CACGUAGGGCGCGAGCGUUGUCCGGAAUUAUUGGGCGUAAAGAGCUCGUAGGCGGCCUGUUGCGUCCGCUGUGAAAGCCCGGGGCUUAACCCCGGGUCUGCAGUGGAUACGGGCAGGCUAGAGGUAGGUAGGGGAGAAUGGAAUUCCCGGUGUAGCGGUGAAAUGCGCAGAUAUCGGGAGGAACACCGGUGGCGAAGGCGGUUCUCUGGGCCUUACCUGACGCUGAGGAGCGAAAGCGUGGGGGAGCGAACAGG
Molecule: ribosomal RNA, 254 nt
Filed under: uncultured bacterium
Lineage: Bacteria
Description: partial 16S ribosomal RNA
Rfam family: Bacterial small subunit ribosomal RNA
Source: RNAcentral